UACGUAGGAGGCGAGCGUUGUCCGGAAUUACUGGGCGUAAAGAGCGCGUAGGCGGCACUGUACGACCGCUGUGAAAGCCCCCGGCUCAACUGGGGAGGGUCAGUGGUAACGGCAGAGCUCUGAGUGCAGGAGAGGGAAGUGGAACUCCGGGAGUAGCGGUGAAAUGCGUAGAGACCCGGAGGAACACCAGUGGCGAAGGCGGCUUCCUGGUCUGCGACUGACGCUGUGGCGCGAAAGCUAGGGGAGCGAACGGG
RNAcentral lists this ribosomal RNA (254 nucleotides) under uncultured bacterium. RNAcentral describes it as "partial 16S ribosomal RNA". It matches the Rfam family "Bacterial small subunit ribosomal RNA", at positions 524 to 776 of the family's 1533-position model. The record is from RNAcentral.